AGUAUGAGCAUGUUAGCAAUACACAAUCCCAAAUACAAACUAUUUCGUUAUUAAUUAACAAGUUAACAUUCCGCCAGCUAUGAUGGUAACUGACAGAAUUGUAAUUAAACAAAUCAGAAGAAUGAAAGGAAUAUAUCAUUUGGGACAGCCUCGACCACUGCCAGGAUCGGUGGAAUGUUGGCACCAUUUUCCAGUCUUUUGGCUGCAAAUCUACUGUGGGCACCGGGAGCUAUAUUUGGAGCAUGUUGUUUAAUCGUGACAAUUACCAUUUUAUAUUUACCAGAAACGAUGGGCAAGGAAUUGCCACAAACCAUGGAGGAUCUUAAUAAACUUUAUGAUAAAUAGCAGGGCAAUGCAUAAACUUUAUGAUAAAUAGGGAGGACCAUGGAUG
Long non-coding RNA from Patella vulgata (common limpet), 391 nucleotides. RefSeq lists it as uncharacterized. The transcript has 3 exons. The record is from RefSeq and is a predicted model, not a curated record. NCBI's taxonomy places the organism in Eukaryota, Metazoa, Mollusca, Gastropoda, Patellidae.